UAACUAAGUCAUAGCCUCCCAUUAAGUGAGUGAUAAUGAGUCCAUUAGUUUAAUAAUCAUUGGAGGUCCAAAGGCCUGGUGCUUAUUGACUAAUGGAAUUAUCAUUCAUAAUAUGAUAAUUUGGUUUGAAUCUUUCUGAUGGUGGUCAGGUUGACCGGCCAAAGUCGGGCCUGAUCAUUUAUUGGUCUGAUUCACCAAAUCAAAUCAUGUUAAUGGUUGGACCUAACCAGAUCUUUUCAGUGGAGGCCAAAGCCUACUGAUUAGGUUCUGGGGCAAAAUCAAUUACUAGAAGUUGUUUAAAGAAACAACUGGUUAUGAACCUACCCAUAAAUGCACAUGGGUUGACCAACCAAAGUUGGGCUCAUGUGUAGUCUGUGUGGAUUCUAAUACCCACUAAGGAAUUAAAGUAAUUUCUCGAAUUGGAGGUUGAGGCUACCAGUUCGUAAAAAUACUGAGAGAAACUUUAGACUAAAGUCCAAGUCUUUAGUAUUUAUAAUUUAUGUACUAAUAGAGGUCUGAUUUUUUUUUAUGUAGCUAUGGCCACUACCCUGUCCCUCCGAUCAUUAUUAGAUAAUGACAAGCUCAUGGGACCCAAUUUUGAUAGCUGGUAUCGAAAAUUAAAAAUCAUCCUUGAGCAUGAGCGGAUCCUUUAUGUAGUAACGGAUCC
RNAcentral lists this long non-coding RNA (667 nucleotides) under Elaeis guineensis (African oil palm). Its description in RNAcentral is "long non-coding RNA (EGUI_LNC082490)". Lineage: Eukaryota; Viridiplantae; Streptophyta; Magnoliopsida; Arecales; Arecaceae. The record is from RNAcentral.